UUUUUUAUCUUUAGCAAUCUGUUAGCUCACACAUUUUCAUUUUCUCUUCUCUCAUCUCUCUUUGAAAUAGGUGCACUGACCAAGGCAGAGAGCAAACACGAAGAAGGUGACUAACAUGAAACGAAACAGGAGCAGCGUUGGAGCAGCAGUGGGGUUCGGUGGAGAGAUGAAGGAAGUUCGGUAGCAAUGCGUGGAGCCGCCUACACUCUACCAUUGCUAAUCCUCUCGAUUUCAGACCUCUUGCAUCAGAUCUUUGCCUCUCAAGAGUUUCUUCACCUUGAAUUUGCUAAACCUGUAGUUUUUGCCUCCUGUAAUUAAUUUGAUUGACAUGGAUUGAAGAAAACCCCUUUUUCUUAUACAAUUGAAAUAUGAAAGCCCCAAAAAAUAUAUUUAUAAAUAAAUAAAUAUAUCAGAUUACACAACCCUAGCUCUUUGGCUUCCAAGGGUUUUAUCAAAAUGCACAGAAGUUCUAAUGGAGCAAAUAUGAAGGAGCUCAGUCUCAAUCUCUCUCAAUCGUCUCAUCGAAGAAGGCUAUUUACUUGGGGAAGCACUACAAGAUGAAAGGAUUAAUGGAGGGGCAUUCAUAGGCACUGAUGGUCUUCAAUUUCCACACAAGCUAAUACUUGUCAUAGGGAAUUAUUAGUUUCAAUUUGUUUCAACGAACCUGGAUGGCAAUGGUCAGGAUGCUUUUUACUAGAUCAUCUGGGUGAUACUUAGGUGAAAAUGCAGAAUCAUGUUUCUGGUGCA
Molecule: non-coding RNA, 747 nt
Organism: Camellia sinensis
Lineage: Eukaryota; Viridiplantae; Streptophyta; Magnoliopsida; Ericales; Theaceae
Source: RefSeq, a predicted model, not a curated record